RNA transcript from Ornithodoros turicata, 2047 nucleotides. RefSeq lists it as uncharacterized. Lineage: Eukaryota; Metazoa; Arthropoda; Arachnida; Ixodida; Argasidae. The transcript has 4 exons. The record is from RefSeq and is a predicted model, not a curated record.
CGUCGUCGUACCGGGGAGGUCGUACUCGAAGCAGCUCUUCGCGUGCCAGCACCACACCGAAGUACUAGAACCAGCACUAUACCGUUUCGUCCAAUCUGCCGCCGUUCUGAACCGUACCUUAGCACAGGGUCCCGAAGCCAUUCCUUGCAAAGUUUCUGUUUGUAACUCACUUUUGGCAUUUCAACAAACGAGAAGAGUGCACACUGCCACGGACGCUAGUGAAGAAGAGAAACGAAGCCACCUCGCAAUGGGAACAGCAAUCGGCAGACUUUGUGGGCUACUAUAAGAGGGAGCAAGAUGUCCAUACAAUCUUUAAUUCGGGUUCUGGUGCAAAAACUCGGUUUAUGUGUCAUCGUUUCCCCUAGUCAACAAUACUGUGCUGGGUGAGAGCAGCAUUUAAGGUCUUAGUAGUUAGGGCCACUUAGAUGUGUUUAUGUGCAUACUCUGGCGUUCGGAAUCCACCACGGAAACAAAUAGCCGCGCUACCAAGGUAAAGUGUGCUACACCAGCUACAAGGGCUGCAUCCGUCUCGAAAGUGAUGGUCGUAAUCUUGUGCUGAAUGUGACUUGUUAGUUACUCUAAAAGUGUGUUUUUUAUUUGUUUGUUUUUUGCGCGACAUGAUUUUUCGCGUUUUUCGAGACCGCCAAAGAAUUCGCAAAUUUAAUUGUACCCUCGAAGUCGACAGUCACCGAGAUAUAUGAGCUUGCGUUUUUCGCGAAUAGUAUAGGGUGUUUUCACAUGACGUCAAGCGAACCCGUUUGGACUCCAUGGUGGUGGUCACUUUUCGGCGCAGCUGCCGGACUUAUCUAGCAUUCUAGUGUUGAAAUCCGGACGCGUCCGUACCCCUCUUUUAUCCCAAAGGCGCUUCGUCAUUGUCGUUCUCACAUUUUCUUUUAUGAAAACUAUGGUUGUCGCAUCGAAAAAUAGCGCAGUUUGUCAUCUUGCAAUGCCGCUAGCACGAAAAGUGACCAUCAGUGGGAGGAGCUUCCGAGCAUGUCACGUCACUGCACGUCACGCAAUGACGUCAUGCACAUGUGGUCCCGCCCACUGGUGGUCACGCUUCUGCAGCUAGCUGAACUGUGUCCUCGUGGUAUUUGUUUUUGUACGCGACGCUAUGGUAAACUGCGCUAUUUACGGUUGUAACGAGAGAAGUUUCCGCAAGAAAAAGAGGAAGAGAGAAGAGGAAGACGAGGAUUCACGUGAGACGUCGCUGGUAAACGAAUAUUUGCAAAAUGACGAUGACGAAAAUGUUGCAGAAGAGGAGGAGCGACGAGUGGCUCUCACGCAUCAACCGAAAAGACAUGCAAGCAAGUGCCACCCAUUACAGAAUUUGCAGCAAACACUUCAUAUCUGGUGAGCUGAUGUUUUGAUCUGGUAUGCUUCGCAUUACGUGCAAAAGUAUUCAGUCUUUACCUGAUAUGAGCGGCAGCGACAGCUAGAGUUUAGAAGAACAUAACUAGGCCAGUUUCAGGUGAACCACCACUUCUGUACGAUGUCAACAACCCGUACUGGGCACCAAGCGUCCAGCUUGGUCACAACAAGUGACUGCACUGUAAUUUAGACAGAUACAGUAGGCGCAAGAAUAGGGCAGCAUGCCAGGCAGGAGUUGCAAGGCACCUCACAGAACUCAAAAAUGUGCCUGUGGCUGACAGUGCUGGUACAGACACAGAAGCAUCAGAGUGUGGACUCAGUUGAGAUGAUGAAGACGGGCAACUACAGGAUGCGCUUUCACAUGACAAGGCAAUUGCAUCGGAUAUCUCCAUGGCUGAUAUUCUCCGACUUGAAGAAGAAAUCCGAAGGUUAAACCACGAGGUCUACAAGCUGAAGGCACAUAUGGCACAUACGAGAAAUGACACAAGCGUAUUUUCAGAAUGACUCUUCUGCAGUGAAGUUUUACUCUGGACUUCCCAACUAUGCAAUGUUGCUUACAGUUUUCGAUUUGGUUGAGAACCAUGUCCACCAUACAUCUUGCAAUUCUUUGACGAAAUUUCAGGAGAUAAUGUUAACUUUGGUUCGGCUUUGUUUAAACGUGCCUCUUCAAGAUCUC